CCCUUAGAUGUUCUGGGCUGCACGCGCGCUACACUGAAGCGUUCAACGAGUAUUUCACCUUGCCCGGGAGGGUUGGGUAAUCUUUUUAAAACGCUUCGUGAUGGGGAUAGAUUAUUGCAAUUAUUAAUCUUCAACGAGGAAUUCCUAGUAAGCGCGAGUCAUCAGCUCGUGCUGAUUACGUCCCUGCCCUUUGUACACACCGCCCGUCGCUCCUACCGAUUGAAUGGUCCGGUGAAGCGUUCGGACCGCUUCCUUUGGACGGGCAACCGUCUGUUGGUCGUGGGAAGUUCGUUAAACCUUAUCAUUUAGAGGAAGGAGAAGUCGUAACA
RNAcentral lists this ribosomal RNA (329 nucleotides) under uncultured eukaryote. RNAcentral's name for it is "partial 18S ribosomal RNA". It matches the Rfam family "Eukaryotic small subunit ribosomal RNA", at positions 1470 to 1796 of the family's 1831-position model. The record is from RNAcentral.